CCAGACUCCUACGGGAGGCAGCAGUGGGGGAUAUUGCACAAUGGGGGGAACCCUGAUGCAGCGACGCCGCGUGGGUGAAGGAGCGUUUCGGCGCGUAAAGCCCUAUCGGCAGGGAAGAAGGAGGACGGUACCUGACUAAGAAGCCCCGGCUAACUACGUGCCAGCAGCCGCGGGAAUACGUAGGGGGCAAGCGUUAUCCGGAUUUACUGGGGUUAAAGGGGGCGCAGACGGCGAUGCAAGCCAGGAGUGAAAGCCCGGGGCCCAACCCCGGGCCUGCCGUUGAAACUGGGUGGCUAGAGUGCAGGAGGGGCAGGCGGAAUUCCUGGUGUAGCGGUGAAAUGCGUAGAUAUCAGGAGGAACACCGGUGGCGAAGGCGGCCUGCUGGACUGCAACUGACGUUGAGGCCCGAAAGCGUGGGGAGCAAACAGGAUUAGAUACCCUAGUA
Molecule: ribosomal RNA, 445 nt
Filed under: uncultured bacterium
Lineage: Bacteria
Description: partial 16S ribosomal RNA
Rfam family: Bacterial small subunit ribosomal RNA
Source: RNAcentral